UAGCUUUGUCCUAAGUCAAACUUAUCUAGCUUUGACGAAAGUUAUAGAAAAAUAUAUUAAAAUCUACAAGACAAUAUCAAACAAAUGCACAAGCAAUAUAUAUUACAUGGUUUAUCUAAUGAAAGUAGUUUCAUGUUAUAGAUAUUUGUGCAUUUUUCUAUAAAUUGGUCAAAGAUAGAGAAGUUUGACUUAGGACAAAGCUAG
This 204-nucleotide microRNA precursor is filed under the name Setaria italica (foxtail millet). Its description in RNAcentral is "MIR1435 microRNA precursor family". It matches the Rfam family "MIR1435 microRNA precursor family". RNAcentral also lists the same sequence under 1 other name. The record is from Rfam by way of RNAcentral. Lineage: Eukaryota; Viridiplantae; Streptophyta; Magnoliopsida; Poales; Poaceae.